Molecule: ribosomal RNA, 351 nt
Filed under: uncultured soil bacterium
Lineage: Bacteria
Description: bacterial SSU rRNA
Rfam family: Bacterial small subunit ribosomal RNA
Source: RNAcentral
CAGCCGCGGUAAUACGUAGGCAGCAAGCGUUGUUCGGAGUUACUGGGCGUAAAGAGUGUGUAGGUGGUUUUCUAAGUUUGGUGUGAAAUCUCCCGGCUCAACUGGGAGGGUGCGCCGAAAACUGGAAGGCUGGAGUAUGGGAGAGGAAAGCGGAAUUCCUGGUGUAGCGGUGAAAUGCGUAGAUAUCAGGAGGAACACCUGCGGUGUAGACGGCUUUCUGGACCAUCACUGACACUGAGACACGAAAGCGUGGGGAGCAAACAGGAUUAGAUACCCUGGUAGUCCACGCCCUAAACGAUGCAUACUUGGUGUGAGCGAUUCAUUUCGUUCGUGCCGGAGCUAACGCGUUAA